GUAGGUGGCAAGCGUUGUCCGGAAUUAUUGGGCGUAAAGCGCGCGCAGGGCGGUCCUUUAAGUCUGAUGUGAAAGCCCACGGCUCAACCGUGGAGGGUCAGUGGAAACUGGGGGACUUGAGUACAGAAGAGGAAAGCGGAAUUCCAAGUGUAGCGGUGAAAUGCGUAGAGAUUUGGAGGAACACCAGUGGCGAAGGCGGCUUUCUGGUCUGUAACUGACGCUGAGGCACGAAAGCGUGGGGAGCAAACAGGAUUAGAUACCCUGGUAGUCCACGCCGUAAACGAUGAGUGCUAAGUGUUAGGGGGUUUCCGCCCCUUAGUGCUGCAGCUAACGCAUUAAGCACUCCGCCUGGGGAGUACGGCCGCAAGGCUG
This 372-nucleotide ribosomal RNA is filed under the name uncultured organism. RNAcentral's name for it is "partial 16S ribosomal RNA". It matches the Rfam family "Bacterial small subunit ribosomal RNA", at positions 527 to 896 of the family's 1533-position model. The record is from RNAcentral.